RNAcentral lists this ribosomal RNA (467 nucleotides) under uncultured bacterium. RNAcentral describes it as "partial 16S ribosomal RNA". It matches the Rfam family "Bacterial small subunit ribosomal RNA", at positions 28 to 506 of the family's 1533-position model. The record is from RNAcentral.
GACGAACGCUGGCGGUGUGCUUAACACAUGCAAGUCGAACGGUAAGGCCCUUUCGGGGGUACACGAGUGGCGAACGGGUGAGUAACACGUGAGUAACCUGCCCUCAUCUCUGGGAUAACAGUCGGAAACGGUUGCUAAUACUGGAUAUGAGCUUGCAAGGCAUCUUGUGGGUUGGAAAGAUUUUUUUUGGUUGGGGAUGGACUCGCGGCCUAUCAGCUUGUUGGUGAGGUAGUGGCUCACCAAGGCUUCGACGGGUAGCCGGCCUGAGAGGGCGACCGGCCACAUUGGGACUGAGAUACGGCCCAAACUCCUACGGGAGGCAGCAGUGGGGAAUAUUGCACAAUGGACGGAAGUCUGAUGCAGCAACGCCGCGUGCGGGAUGACGGCCUUCGGGUUGUAAACCGCUUUCAAUUGUGACGAGGCUUUUUUGUGACGGUAGCAGUAGAAGAAGCACCGGCUAACUACGU